UCAACUUAAAUUAAGUGGGCGAUCCAACACCGACACCUAGGCCAGCAAAGCAAGCACAAGCACCUGCCCCAUUGGCCACAGGCUACGUGAUGAGUAUACUUAAACUAAGCCCAACGACACUCUCUCCGGCCAGAUGGACCGCAAUUAGAGUAGCUCCUCUUCCUUCCUCAGAUCUGAUCUGAUCGGAUCGGAUCAUUUGUCAUGUCAAAGUGUUCCUCCCCUUCUGCACAGCCUGGGCCCAGCACGGCAAGGCCACAACAAGUAGAGUAGUAGUACCACGUACUACAUGGAGAGGGCCGGUGAUAUUUCAUAUGUCAGGUGAGGUCGACGGUGUCUGCCUUCGUUGAUUGGUACGCCCAGAUUAUUAUGCGUUAUACUUACUCGGCAUUAUCCUCACAAGCUGAAUGAUUUAAGCGGGGAGGUGGAGUAUCUGAGGAGAGAAACAAGCCGCUGCUAGUGGCGAGGCUAGGCGGCACUGUCACGUUCCCUCCCAUGUGGCCCUCGCGCGCCAGUUUUAAUAGGCUGACCGUGAUUUGGUCGCGACAUGAGUUCGGCUGCUGGACGGUAGUAAGUCUGUUAGGCCGGUCUGCUCUGCUGCGUGUGAGAUCAGCUGCUUCCAUGUGCCGUUUCUAGAGUGCGGUGGCUUUGGUCCGUUUCUCCCCCAUCUCUGGAUGGGGUUUUGUGAUGUUGUACUGUUUUGAUAAACGGCCUGAUCCUUUUUUCCUUCUAAAGAGAAAGAGGACAAAAUAUCUUUCACACAUACGCUCGCAAAGAAACGCACGCAGCACCUCCUAUAACUCCUAAGAGCAUGGUUAAUAAUAUAGUCGACCGGUGGCUAUAACAUGUUACCAUGUCAUCUAUAGCCAAUGUAAUAGUCAAUAUGUAUCGUAAUGAGCUACAAGGAAGUAUUACUUUUUUACAAUAUGACCCACCAUACACUCUCACAUCGCUUCUUGGAGACCGUGCUACAGCCGGCUAUAAAUCUACAACCCGCUUAUCUUCUCUAUCCUCUUCUCUCUCAUCCAACUCAGCAAAGAUAUAGUAUUUUAAGUAUUAUGGCCCUCCUACGUCACCUUAUUAUACUUGCUCUAACGCACAAAACACCUAGUCUAGGUUUCCAUGACAUUCCGUUGUGCAGCCGUCCAGCUGCCUCGUCUCCAAUGGCCUUAGGAUCAUGGAGGCAUGGUGGAUCCUGUUCCUUACCGGCAGAAGGGCUGUGUUUUAGAUGUUUUUUUAGUUUUUAUAGGGUCUGUGUUCUGCACAGGAAGACGAGGCGACGACGGCGGCUGAGGGUGUCCUGUAUUAGGGGGUCCUCGGACAGCCGGACUAUAUACUUUGGCUGGACUGUUG
RNAcentral lists this long non-coding RNA (1350 nucleotides) under Triticum aestivum (bread wheat). Its description in RNAcentral is "long non-coding RNA (TAES_LNC001231)". The record is from RNAcentral. Lineage: Eukaryota; Viridiplantae; Streptophyta; Magnoliopsida; Poales; Poaceae.